This is a long non-coding RNA of Astyanax mexicanus (Mexican tetra), 814 nucleotides long. RefSeq lists it as uncharacterized. The record is from RefSeq and is a predicted model, not a curated record. NCBI's taxonomy places the organism in Eukaryota, Metazoa, Chordata, Actinopteri, Characiformes, Acestrorhamphidae. The transcript has 2 exons.
UUUUCUAAUAUCUCAUAGAUUUUAAAUGGAAUGACUCUUUUACUACAUACUCUUACUAUGAAUAUGCAUGUUUAUGCAUAACAAAACAGCUAACGUUUUUACUCGUUUCGUCAUUUUAGCAAGAAAACUGGCAGCAGUUCAGUUUGGCUACUCGAUGUUUCUUAGUAAGAGCGUGGCAUAUGCCAUGUUUUUGGCAAUUCUGGUGUGGAAAUUCAAGCCUGCAAAGGAGAAGAAGCUGCUAGAAGAAAACUAAAGCAGUUUUGUCAACUGAAGCCUCCAAACAGAUGAUUAAAAAAAUAGCCUGUGGAGAAACGAAGACAAAUCAAGCACUGCCACAAAACACGGCAUUACACCUGUAUGUGUUUAAAUCUGCAUUUUAUGUAAUGAUAAUGGAUACAAGCUUAAGAUAAAAAAAUGCUAAUUACAUUUAGAUGAUUGUCAUUUUUCCCUGCGGAAAAAUCCAGCUCAAGACCAUCUUCUGCAAGUAGCUGGUUUUGUAUGAGAUGGUCUUUGAUGGUUAAAGGUGAUUUUAAAAGCUGGUCAUCCCGCUAAAACAUAAGCUUGACCUGUAUAGUGAAUGUUGCAUCUUGCUGGUCUUGCUUGGUCUUGCUGGUCAUACUGGUUAUCUAGCUUAACCAGAUUAAACUGAACAUGCUAGUGUUUUCAGCAGGGCUGUUAUGCUUUGUAAAUUUGCUCUGAGAAGUUUUAAAUAUAUCUUUGCUUUUAACAUUCUUUUUUUAUAUCCUACAAUAUCAUGUACAUUGAAACAAAUAAAAUGAUUAAUUGUAAUAUAAAUAAACUGUGUUAAAUGUUA